Molecule: ribosomal RNA, 755 nt
Filed under: Lentilactobacillus buchneri
Lineage: Bacteria; Bacillati; Bacillota; Bacilli; Lactobacillales; Lactobacillaceae
Description: bacterial SSU rRNA
Rfam family: Bacterial small subunit ribosomal RNA
Source: RNAcentral
UAAUACAUGCAAGUCGAACGCGUCUCCGUUAAUGAUUUUAGGUGCUUGCACUUGAAAGAUUUAACAUUGAGACGAGUGGCGAACUGGUGAGUAACACGUGGGUAACCUGCCCUUGAAGUAGGGGAUAACACUUGGAAACAGGUGCUAAUACCGUAUAACAACCAAAACCACCUGGUUUUGGUUUAAAAGACGGCUUCGGCUGUCACUUUAGGAUGGACCCGCGGCGUAUUAGCUUGUUGGUAAGGUAACGGCCUACCAAGGCGAUGAUACGUAGCCGACCUGAGAGGGUAAUCGGCCACAUUGGGACUGAGACACGGCCCAAACUCCUACGGGAGGCAGCAGUAGGGAAUCUUCCACAAUGGACGAAAGUCUGAUGGAGCAACGCCGCGUGAGUGAUGAAGGGUUUCGGCUCGUAAAACUCUGUUGUUGGAGAAGAACAGGUGUCAGAGUAACUGUUGACAUCUUGACGGUAUCCAACCAGAAAGCCACGGCUAACUACGUGCCAGCAGCCGCGGUAAUACGUAGGUGGCAAGCGUUGUCCGGAUUUAUUGGGCGUAAAGCGAGCGCAGGCGGUUUUUUAGGUCUGAUGUGAAAGCCUUCGGCUUAACCGGAGAAGUGCAUCGGAAACCGGGAGACUUGAGUGCAGAAGAGGACAGUGGAACUCCAUGUGUAGCGGUGAAAUGCGUAGAUAUAUGGAAGAACACCAGUGGCGAAGGCGGCUGUCUGGUCUGUAACUGACGCUGAGGCUCGAAAGC